RNAcentral lists this ribosomal RNA (433 nucleotides) under uncultured bacterium. RNAcentral describes it as "partial 16S ribosomal RNA". It matches the Rfam family "Bacterial small subunit ribosomal RNA", at positions 29 to 507 of the family's 1533-position model. The record is from RNAcentral.
AACGAACGCUGGCGGCAUGCCUAACACAUGCAAGUCGAACGAGACCUUCGGGUCUAGUGGCGCACGGGUGCGUAACGCGUUGGAACCUGCCCUUAGGUUCGGAAUAACUCCCCGAAAGGGGUGCUAAUACCGGAUAAUGUCUUCGGACCAAAGAUUUAUCGCCUUUGGAUGGGCCCGCGUUGGAUUAGCUAGUUGGUAGGGUAAAAGCCUACCAAGGCGACGAUCCAUAGCUGGUCUGAGAGGAUGAUCAGCCACACUGGGACUGAGACACGGCCCAGACUCCUACGGGAGGCAGCAGUGGGGAAUAUUGGACAAUGGGCGAAAGCCUGAACCAGCAAUGCCGCGUGAGUGAUGAAGGCCUUAGGGUUGUAAAGCUAUUUUACCCGGGAUGAUAAUGACAGUACCGGGAGAAUAAGCUCCGGCUAACUCCGUA